RNAcentral lists this long non-coding RNA (253 nucleotides) under Lathyrus oleraceus (garden pea). RNAcentral describes it as "Pisum sativum (pea) long non-coding RNA (PSAT_LNC029456)". The record is from RNAcentral. Lineage: Eukaryota; Viridiplantae; Streptophyta; Magnoliopsida; Fabales; Fabaceae.
AAAUUCAUAGUAAUUUCUUUUUUUAUCCAAAAAAUCCCAAAAUAAUUUCUAAAAUUCUCUUUUAUUUUUGUUUAUCUAAUUUUUAUUUUUUCACAUUUUAUUUCACUGAUUUUCUAUUUUUUUAAUGAAUUUUCUCUUUUCUCCUUUGUUUUAAUUGGUUUAAAAAUACUUUUCUGUAUUUUAAAAUUCUGAAAAAAUUAUUAUAUACUUCUUAUUUUAUUUUCAACCUUCCAUAAUUUUCUUGGCCGUUUAU